Molecule: transfer RNA, 71 nt
Filed under: Camelus bactrianus (Bactrian camel)
Lineage: Eukaryota; Metazoa; Chordata; Mammalia; Artiodactyla; Camelidae
Also listed under: 2 other names
Rfam family: tRNA
About the family: Transfer RNA (tRNA) molecules are approximately 80 nucleotides in length. Their secondary structure includes four short double-helical elements and three loops (D, anti-codon, and T loops).
Source: Rfam by way of RNAcentral
GAGGGAAUAGCUCAGUGUAGAGUGCAUACCUAGCAUGAACAAGGUCCUGGGUUCAAUCCCCAGUACCUCCA